RNAcentral lists this transfer RNA (85 nucleotides) under Ferrovibrio xuzhouensis. RNAcentral describes it as "tRNA-Leu". It matches the Rfam family "tRNA". Rfam says of the family: Transfer RNA (tRNA) molecules are approximately 80 nucleotides in length. Their secondary structure includes four short double-helical elements and three loops (D, anti-codon, and T loops). RNAcentral also lists the same sequence under 11 other names. Lineage: Bacteria; Pseudomonadati; Pseudomonadota; Alphaproteobacteria; Rhodospirillales; Rhodospirillaceae. The record is from RNAcentral.
GCGGGCGUGGUGGAACUGGUAGACACGCAGGAUUUAGGUUCCUGUGCCGCAAGGCGUGUGGGUUCAAGUCCCUCCGCCCGCACCA